This 23-nucleotide non-coding RNA is filed under the name Arabidopsis thaliana (thale cress). The record is from RNAcentral. Lineage: Eukaryota; Viridiplantae; Streptophyta; Magnoliopsida; Brassicales; Brassicaceae.
ACCCAAUAUCAUUUCGGAUGGCC